CUGCGUAAUAUCGCUCGCGCCAGCUAAGACCUGAAGCUGUUGGAAAACGCCGGUUUAUCCGGCGUUUUCUA
This 71-nucleotide unclassified non-coding RNA is filed under the name Pseudomonas agarici. RNAcentral describes it as "sroD RNA". The record is from RNAcentral. Lineage: Bacteria; Pseudomonadati; Pseudomonadota; Gammaproteobacteria; Pseudomonadales; Pseudomonadaceae.